CGCACUCCUUGGUGACGGCGCUCCCCGCUUCCGGGUCCGCUCGGAUGUUUCCGGAUCCGCUCGGCUGUUUCCGGACCGGCCCCGGGCUCGAGAGAGCCCAGACGUGUUUCUGCAGAGGUGGUCGCUGGCGUCUGGCCGUGACCUUCCAAGUGCUGCUCGGAUUACACUCUGUCCGGGACGCAGGCCCAGGCGCUCUCCACGCCCCUCCCCGAGCCGCCUCCGACCGGCCCCUGGCCGCCCUUCCGCAGCAGCUUGGCUCAGUUGUGACACCUAUUCGCUCCACAAGUGGUUCAUGACCUCCUCUGCAAGCCCUAACACACAC
This is a long non-coding RNA of Ochotona curzoniae (black-lipped pika), 322 nucleotides long. RefSeq lists it as uncharacterized. The record is from RefSeq and is a predicted model, not a curated record. Lineage: Eukaryota; Metazoa; Chordata; Mammalia; Lagomorpha; Ochotonidae. The transcript is spliced from 3 exons.